CCAAUAGCGUAUAUUAAAGUUGUUGCAGUUAAAAAGCUCGUAGUUGAAUUUCGGGACCAAUCUGCCGGUCGUGCCUCCGGUACGCACUGGUUUUAUUGGUUUCUCCCUUCUGACGAACCAUGAUGUCAUUAAUUUGGUGUCAUGGGGAAUCAGGACUGUUACUUUGAAAAAAUUAGAGUGUUUAUAGCAGGCUCACGCUUGAAUACAUUAGCAGGGAAUAAUGAAAUAGGACGUUUGACCCUAUUUUGUUGGUUUCUAGGAUCGACGUAAUGAUUAAUAGGGAUAGUUGGGGGCAUUAGUAUUCAAUUGUCAGAGGUGAAAUUCUUGGAUUUAUUGAAGACUAACUACUGCGAAAGCAUUUGCCAAGGAUGUUUUCAUUAAUCAAGAACGAAAGUUAGGGGAUCGAAGACGAUCAGAUACCGUCGUAGUCUUAACCAUAAACUAUGCCGACUAGGGAUCGGAUGAUGUUAAUUUUUUAAUGACUCAUUCGGCGCCUUACG
Molecule: unclassified non-coding RNA, 500 nt
Filed under: uncultured Glomus
Lineage: Eukaryota; Fungi; Glomeromycota; Glomeromycetes; Glomerales; Glomeraceae
Description: SSU rRNA
Rfam family: Eukaryotic small subunit ribosomal RNA
Source: RNAcentral